CUGUGAGGGAUGGGAGAGGGAACUGACCAAGGACAAGAGGAGAACACACAGUCCGAUGGCAUCUGGGAAGCAUGAACCCACAUAGAACUAAUCUGGAGACUCCAGUGUUUUUUUACAUGAGCUCAGCAACAAAGACACUAAGGAGAACAAAUGGUUGAAUUUGACCAGGGAAAAUGCAUGAGACGCGGGUGUGUGCAGAAGUGCCUCUGGUGAAGAGUGGCUCCCACAGGACAGGUCAUGCAUGUCUUAGUCUGAAUGUUCUCUGUCUCACAACACAGAGUGGGCUUAGCCCACGCUAUUCUGAAUGAAUGGUAUAUCCGGCACAGUAGCUGAGAGCGCUUGCUUUUGAAGUGUAUCUGGUUUGAAUCUGGGCUCUGCCACUCACUAGCUUAUGCAACCUUAGGCAAGCUACUGAACAUCUCUGAGCCUCAAUUUCCUCAUCUGUUACUGGGAGAAUUCACGUAGCUUCUGUGGACUGAGCCCAUCUAUGCAUUGUGCUAUCAUUACCAGCUAUUCUAAGAGAGAACAUCUUGGACAAUAACAGCAUCAAAAGUAAGAGAACAGAUGGCAAGCAAGGAAGACAGAGAGGUAUUCAAGACUCCAAGGUGGAAGUGUGAAGUAAAAGCUGGCUUGUGGAUCUCAUGUUUCCACUUGAAGGCGAAUUAAUUUCAUUCACUUCAUGGUUCAGCUGCCCAACAAAUGUUUCAAGCUUUAACUUUUCUAUGGCUUAAUCUACAUAGCAUAUAUUAUUGAUCCCCUAACACGGUAACUGAAGCUGGUAGAGCAUUAUUAUCCUCCUUAUCCGGACAGAGUCAGUUAUUGAAGAAUUUACCCCUGGUCAGGGGCAAAGCGGUACCUUCAACCUCUAUCUUCUGGUUCUACGUCCUAUUCAAUCCUUGACAUCUCACUGUCUUCCAUUUCAUCUUUCUUGAUUGGAUCAUCACAGCUAUUAGAACAAAAUGGCUCUAACAAAGAGAAAAAUAUCAUUCCAAGAACCAGAACUGGCCUCAAUCCAUCACAAGUUGAUGUACAGAAUACAGGUAAGAUAUUUUUAAGCUGUAUUUCGCUUAAAGCUAAAUGAAGACUCCUCCCUGUAGCAACUGCAUGUAGAACUCAGCAGUGCCAAUUUCUUCGCGGCAUCAUAACUUCCUCCCCAGGAAGGCAUAAGAACCUCUGACUCAGACAGAUGAACUACCCGCAGUUGGGCAGAUCAUUUUCUUUAUUCAGUUCUUGAUAUUCUUAAAUGCCAGCAUGUUAAGUCAGUGUGAGGAUCUGCCCUCUAGUUCAGGAGGGCACUUUUUGUGUAUGUGUGGCAUGUUUUCAUGCCACAGACAUGUCUUUUUUGAAAGCAGAAGUACUCUUAUAGGCUGGGUGAGAGGUGAGAGCGUGCGGGCAACCCUUGCUCGCUCUCAGCACCUCCUUGGCCUUGGCACCCACUCUCGCCACGCUUGAGGAGCCCUUCAGCCCACAGCUGCACUGUGGGAGCCCCUCUCUGGGCUGGCCAAGGCUGGAGCCGGCUCCUUCUGCUUGUGGGAAGGUGUGGAGGGAGAGGCGCAGGCAGGAACCGGGGCUGCGCGUGGCGCUCACAAGCCAGAGCGAGUUCUGGGUGGGCGCAGGCUCAAUGGGCCCCACACUCGGAGCAGCUGGCCGGCGCCGCCAGCCCUGGGCAAUGAGGGGCUUAGCACCUGGGCCAGCUGCUGAGGAGGGUGCCCCGGGUCCCCCAGCAAUGCCAGCCCACCAGCGCCACACUCGAAUUCUCGCCGGGCCUCAGCCACCUCCCCGCAGGGCAGGGCUCGGGACCUGCAGCCCGCCAUGCCCAAGGCCCCCACCCCGCCCCUGGUGGGUUCCCAUGCUGCCCGAGCCUCCCUGAUGGGCGCCGCCCCCUGCUCCACAGCGCCCAGUCCCAUCGACCGCCCAAGGGCUGAGGGGUGCAGGCGCGCAGCGCUGGACUGAUGGGCAGCUCCACCCACAGCCCCGGCGUGGGAUCCACUAGGCAAAGCCAGCUGGGCUCCUGAGUCGGGUGGGGACUUAGAGAACUUUUAUGUCUAGCCGGAGGAUUGUAUAUGCACCAAUCAGCACUCUGUGUCUAGCUUGGGGUUUGUGGAUGCACCAAUCAGCACUCUGUAUCUAGCUAAUCUGGUGGGGAUUUGGAGAACUUUUAUGUCUAGCUAGAGGAUUGUAAAAGCACCAGUCAGCACUCUAUGUCUAGCUCAAGGUUUGUAAAUGCACCAAUCAGUGCUCUGUGUCUAGCUAAUCUAGUGGGGACUUGGAGAACUUUUAUGUCUAGCUAGAGGAUUGUAAAUGCACCAAUCAGCAUUCUGUGUCUAGCUCAGGGAUUGUAAACGCACCAAUCAGCACCCUGUCAAAACGGACCAAUCAGCUCUCUGUAAAAUGGACCAAUCAGCAGGAUGCGGGUGGGGCCAGAUAAGGGAAUAAAAGCAGGCUGCCCAAGCCAGCAGCGGCAACCUGCUCGGGUCCCCUUUGACACUGUGGAAGCUUUGUUCUUUCAGUCUUUGCAAUAAAUCUUGCUGCUGCUGCUCACUCUGGGUCCGCACUGCCGUUAUGAGCUGUAACACUCACUGCGAAGGUCUGCAGCUUCACUCCUGAGGCCAGCGAGACCACGAACCCACCGGGAGGAAUGAACAACUCCAGACAGGAGGAACUAACAACUCCAGAUGCGCCGCCUUAAGAGCUGUAACACUCACCACGAAGGUCUGCAGCUUCACUCCUGAAGCCAGCAAGACCACGAACCCACCAGAAGGAAGAAACUCCGAACAUGUCCGAACAUCAGAAGAAACAAACUCCGGACACACCAUCUUUAAGAACUGUAACACUCACUGCAAGGGUCCGCGGCUUCAUUCUUGAAGUCAGUGAGACCGAGAACCCACCAAUUCCAGACACAUGGGCAUGGUGGCUCACACCUGUAAUCCCAGCACUUUCGGAGGCCAAGCUGGGCGGAUCACCUGAGGUCAGGAGCUCGAGACCAGCCUGACCAACACGGUGAAACCCCAUCGCUACCAAAAAUACAAAAACUAGCUGGGCAUGGUGGCACACGUCUGUAAUCCCAGCUACUUGGGAGGCUGAGGCAGAAGAAUCGCUUGCACCCAGGAGGCAAAGGUUGCAGUGAGCCGAGAUCACACCACAGCACUACAGCCUGGGUGACAGAGCAAGAUUCCAUCUCAAAAAAAAAAAAAAAGUACUCUUAUAUAAUCACAGAAAAGUACAUUUUGUUAGAACAAAAGAGAUUGUUAGUAACAGAAAUAUGUCAGCACCCAGCACAGUACCAGUCCCUCAUUAAAUAAUCCAUUAAAUGAAAACACCUAAAAUCAUGUUAGCUCAAAAAUUAACCCCAAAUCCCAGACAAACACAGAAUCUGUUUGGCAUGAAGCCAUGGGCCUACAUAUAUUGUGUAACCCCAAGAGCUGGGUGACUCCACACAAAAUACACUCCGUGUAUUUUGGAACCGAACUUCUUUUGCUAAGCCAACUGUUGAAGGCUUAAAGAGACUGCAAUUGGGUCCCCGGCCAGCAAUAACAUGCAAUAGCAAGAAAAUAAAAUGUGUGUUUUCCACAGUAAACACAUAUGUUGGAGAUGAGUCAAGAAAUUCUUACCUGGUCUAAAUACUGAGGGAGAAGCUUUGCCAAGAUCUUGGCUGUAUUUUCACUCAGUUCAGAAGGCUUUAUAAUCACAGCAUUUCCUAAAUAAAGUAAAAAGUAGAACAGUAUCAUCUAAUAUUUAACUUUAAUAGCUACCAAAAUGAUGUUCAGUGGGAAGAACAGGCUAGGUACUCCCAAUUAUUUCUGCAGCUCUCAAUGCUGCAUAUCCUCAUAAUUAGCAUAAGAGCUCAUCUCACUUUCUCUUCUAAGGCUAACUCCUUAGCUGUCCUCAUCUUCAGGUCACUGACAAUGGGUUCCAGCAGCCUUUCCCACUCCUCCAGCUUUCUAUCGCUUUUCUCCCACUUCUGCCCUUAGAUUGUCCUCUCUGCCCUGGAAUUAUUGGGCAAGUGAGCCAUUUCAACAUACAUCUCUCUAUCUGGAUCCUGCAAAGUGAGAAAUUAAUCUCCUGGCAUUUGCUAUAUACCCAAGCUAGCAUUACUCUCAUAGUCUUUAUUUGAAUGAAGAAACUGGUCAGACAGAAUCAAAUGGUUCAUCCGAAGCCAGAGCCAGCAACUGAAACCAUAUUAGAACAUGGAUGCCUGACUCCAAACUCCUGGGCCUGCUGACUCACACAUCUUUACACUCCCACAGGUUCAUUCCCCAGGUGCUUCAAAACAUAGCCACACAAAUCUCCUCAGCAGCCCAUUUAAAAAUAUGUAUGGUAUGUAUGAAUUCUCAGUACACUGGUGGUGUAAACAAAGGCAAAUCACCAAGUAAAUGUAUUUAAUUAGCCACUAUCCUUAAUUUCCAAUUAAUAUGAGAAAAUAAGCCUCCCUAAAAAGGUAUAUAGACAUAAGGUGGCACCAGACCUGCAGCGAUGGCUCCUAUCAGUGGCUGAAUGGUGAGAACGAAGGGGUAAUUCCAAGCUCCGAUUAUCAGCACCACUCCCAGAGGCUGUGGCUGAAUAUAGGCCUCAUCCAGCAUGGUGAGCACGUUCUUCUUAACUGGUUUAGCAGUAACCCAUUCAGGAAGAUUCUCAAGCAUAAAAUCAAUUUCCCCAAGGACAGUAAUGACUUCCUGACUGUACACAUUGAAUUCACUCUGUUAUAAGAGAAUCACAGUUAAUCUUGCAGAGUAAGUAUGAUACACUUGGCCCUGAAUGUCAGAACACUCACACCAGGUACACCUGUAGUGACAACAACUGGCAUUAUCAGACUAGCUGUUUGCCAUUCAGACUCCUUUUGCACCCUUCACGCCCCUGGUAAGGGCUUGCUAAUUCUCUAAUAUAUUUCUUUUAAAAAAAUCAAAGAUUAUUUCAGGGAGUAGUAACACUAGUCGAAUACCAUUAGUAAAUCCUUCUUUAGUAAUCCACACCCUUUAAAAGCCAGGCUUAAAUAUUACCUCUUUCAGGAAGAUUUCCUUGAGCAAUAAAGGUCUGCUCUGAACACACUUUAUAUAUUACAGCAAUCAUGCUUUUGACCUGCAUCUUAAUAUUCAUCCUUAACACACUGGUUUAUAACUAUCACUCACAUUUCAUCUGUGUAUGUUCUGUUUCCCAGUCAAGUUUAAAACUCUUGAGGACAGGGAACUUAUUGUAUUUCUUGAGUCAUCCUAUAUACACACAUACUCACACAAACAUUUAGUUCUUCAAGUAUGAUUAAAUGACACAGACUUUUUGGAAUCUUAAUUACCCCAUCUUGUUUAUUUAAUAUCACAGCCCCUUUCCACCAAAAGUACUCUAAAAGAAAUUUCAUAGUUGCUACUAGUACUACCACUAUUACGACUUAUUAAAAUAAUCUUUGAUUGAGGGGAUUGUGGGGAAGGGAAAAAUCACAAACCCAGAGCAAAGCCUUGCUACACAUGUAAUGCAGAUAAAAAGUAAAAACAAGAUGAUAGGCCAGGCACGGUGGCUCACGUCUAUAAUCCCAGCACUUUGGGAGGCUGAGGCGGGCGGAUCACAAGGUCAGGAGAUGGAGACCAUCCUGGCUAACACAGUGAAACCCCGUCUCUACUAAAAAUACAAAAAAUUAGCCGGGCACGGUGGCGGGCGCCUGUAGUCCCAGCUACUUGGGAGGCUGAGGCAGGAGAAUGGUGUGAACCCGGGAGGUGGAGCUUGCAGUGAGCCAAAAGAGCACCACUGCAGUCCGGCCUGGGAGAAAGAGCGAGACUCCGCCUCAAGAAAAAAAACAAAAACAAAAACAAAAACAAGAUGAUAGCCUCAUGCCUGUAGUCCUAGUAUCUGGGAGGUUGGGGCAGGAGGACUGCUUGAGCCUAGGAGUUGGAGGCUGCAGUGAGUUAUGAUUGAGUCACUGCACUUCAGCCUGGGUAACAAAGGGAGACCCUGUCCGUUUAAAAAAAAAAAAAGUAACAAUAUUAUCAGCAAACAUACAGGAAUAUACUUACACCCUAAAACACUACUUAAAACUUUGCUACCACAGGCCGGGGGGGUGGCUCACACCUGUAAUCCCAGCACUUUGGGAGGCCCAGGCAGGCGGAUCACUUGAGGCCAGGAGUUCAGGACCAGCUUGGUCAACAUGGUGAAACUCCAUCUCUACUAAAAAUACAAAAAUGAGCCGGGUGUGGUGGCGCACGCCUGUAAUCCCAGCUACUGAGGAGGCUGAGGCAAGAGAAUCGCUUGAACCCAAGAGAUGGAGGUUGCAGUGAGCCGAGAUCGCACCACUGCACUCCAGCCUGGGAGACACAGUGAGACUCCGUCUUAAAAGCAAAACAAAACAAGCAAACAAACAAAAAAACCACACACACAAAUCAAAACAAUAAAAACUUUGCUACACAAAGCGUGCUUCCAAAAGAGGCAUAUGAUAUCACUGGGGACCUUGUUAGAAACUUGGAAUCUCAGAUCCCACCCCCGACAUACUGAACCAUAAUCUGCAUUUUAACAAGAUCCCCAGGUGACUGUUAGUGCAUUAAAAUUUGAGGAGAACUGACCUAAUAAUACACAAAGUUAUGAAGAAAAAUUUGACUGCAACUAUAACUUAAAAACAAAACUCUGUCUAACAAAGAAACCAUAAACAAAGCUAAAAGACAAGAAAUAGACCCAGAGGCUGGUCUGAUGGUAAUGGGUUAUUCAGAACUUAUUAAUAUUACUGUUAUUCAAGUUGGUAUGCAACUCUCCCACUGCUAAAUUUGGCUUAAAAAAAAAGAAAAGAAAGAAACCCAAAGAAAGUAUCCACAAUACAGUAAACUGACAAAUUACUUAAAUCCAGAAUAUACAAAGAGUUCCUACACAUCAUAAGGAAAAGAACCACAAAUGUAACAGAAAAAUGGACAAGAAUAGAAAAGGCAGAAAAGGAACCACAGAAGCUAGGUAACAUAUGCCCUUCUGAGUGCUAGAGGACCGGGAAAGUCUGCGGGAACUUUGGCUUUAUCUGUAUCGCUGGAGAUCAUACUCCCAGUGCUGGAGUAAUCCGAAAUGUAAAAGCAAAAACAAAACCCAGCCGAAGCUCCAGUCCACAAGUGCGCGGCGGGGGCCAGUUUCCCCACACCCCGCCGCACGCGUGCGUACCUUGCACAGGUCGGCGGCGAUGGCCGUCAGGAUA
Molecule: long non-coding RNA, 7153 nt
Filed under: Homo sapiens (human)
Lineage: Eukaryota; Metazoa; Chordata; Mammalia; Primates; Hominidae
Description: HSALNT0238365
Rfam family: Y RNA (bases 6657-6750)
Source: RNAcentral